Helianthus annuus (common sunflower) is the source of this 371-nucleotide long non-coding RNA. RefSeq lists it as uncharacterized. The record is from RefSeq and is a predicted model, not a curated record. The transcript is spliced from 3 exons. Lineage: Eukaryota; Viridiplantae; Streptophyta; Magnoliopsida; Asterales; Asteraceae.
UGGUCGAUCAACAGAAGGAAGGGGGCGACACCCACACUUCCAAAACCUAAAAAUCUACUAAACUCUCAAAUUGAAGGCCAAAAUUCAGUUGAAAUCGGAAUCUAAACAUAGAAUCGUGAUCUCCUCCUCAAGAAGGUCAUAAGGCAAGGAAUCCGGAACGUCAAGUGGACACGCCGGAGGUGAUACCCGCGGAAAAGGUGUGCUUUGAAGGUAUGAAUGAGGUCCUCCCGGAUGGCGAUCAAGUACAUGUCAAGAACCGAACACAUAUUUCGAAGCUUCCGCACUAAACUUAAUUUUGUCUAAACUUUAAACAUGAUGUAAUUUCUUUUGUUGAUCGUGUUUUUAAAUCCCUCAAACUAGUGAUUAGUUUA